Molecule: transfer RNA, 72 nt
Organism: Ovis aries (sheep)
Lineage: Eukaryota; Metazoa; Chordata; Mammalia; Artiodactyla; Bovidae
Rfam family: tRNA
About the family: Transfer RNA (tRNA) molecules are approximately 80 nucleotides in length. Their secondary structure includes four short double-helical elements and three loops (D, anti-codon, and T loops).
Source: Rfam
UCCCUGGUGGCUCAGACAGUACAGCAUCUGCCUGCAGUGCGGGUGACCAGGGUUCGUUCCCUGGCUGGGGAA